Long non-coding RNA from Thunnus maccoyii (southern bluefin tuna), 787 nucleotides. RefSeq lists it as uncharacterized. The transcript is spliced from 3 exons. NCBI's taxonomy places the organism in Eukaryota, Metazoa, Chordata, Actinopteri, Scombriformes, Scombridae. The record is from RefSeq and is a predicted model, not a curated record.
UGCAGGCAUUUGUGGCCUGCAUGUGAUUUGACAAAUGGCUGCAAAUAACACCUGGAGCAGCAGGUGGACUAGUCAAACUGUCUGCUGUGAGGGUCUAUUAUCUCCUCCACAAAGCAAUCUAGGAAGGCAUGAUACACAGUGGAUGGCUUGAAUGCUAAUUAACUGUCUGGAGCAAAGAGAGAAAAACAACCCUUUCACAUCCCUAAAGGCUCAUCCUGGCUCAAACCUCACCGCUAUGAGGUGCAAUGUGGUUCUUCAUUCGAGGCCAAAUCUCCAUCCUUCAUGCUGGAGCAGACAAGAGGACUGAUUGCACUAUAUUGCCCCCGUAAUUUUCCAUGCUGGAUGGGGUCACUCAGCCAAGAAAAGGAGCAGACAGUCUUUGCCUCCAACUCUCAAGAUGUGAAUCAGACUCUCUCUCUCUCUCUCUCUCUCUCUCUCUCACGCUCUUCUUUCUCAGUGAUGGAGCAUGUUUAAACUAUCCAAAAUUUAAAGCAGCUCUCAUACAAUAAACAAGUAUUGUCCUGGAGUGGACAAUGUUGACUGGCAGGGGUAAAUUUGUGCAGGUUUUAAUUGUAGCAGAGGUUCAUCUUGACCCCAGAUAUUGAGAAUAUAUCUUUAUAAUAGUGAGUUCAGUACUAAGAAUGGAAUACUGAUUCAUGUGCAGUCCUAGAGAGUAAGAAAGAGGCUUAAAGCUAACAUCAGAGAGGAGAGGAAAAGAAAGCCUGACAGAGAUGAAAGGAAGACAAAAUAUUAGACAUUAGAGAAGGCAGUGGAAUGCAUCAGAGUC